This 283-nucleotide ribosomal RNA is filed under the name uncultured bacterium. RNAcentral's name for it is "partial 16S ribosomal RNA". It matches the Rfam family "Bacterial small subunit ribosomal RNA", at positions 335 to 606 of the family's 1533-position model. The record is from RNAcentral.
ACUCCUACGGGAGGCAGCAGUGGGGAAUAUUGCACAAUGGGGGAAGCCCAUCGAUGCAGCCAUGCCGCGUGUGUGAAGAAGGCCUUCGGGUUGUAAAGACACUUUUCAGUAGGGAGGAAGGUAGUGUAGUUAACACCUGCAUUAUUUGACGUUACCUACAGAAGAAGCACCGGCUAACUCCGUGCCAGCAGCCGCGGUAAUACGGAGGGUGCAAGCGUUAAUCGGAAUUACUGGGCGUAAAGCGUGCGCAGGCGGUCUGUUAAGCGAGAUGUGAAAGCCCCGG